This 2163-nucleotide long non-coding RNA is filed under the name Lactuca sativa (garden lettuce). RNAcentral's name for it is "long non-coding RNA (LSAT_LNC002121)". Lineage: Eukaryota; Viridiplantae; Streptophyta; Magnoliopsida; Asterales; Asteraceae. The record is from RNAcentral.
AAUUAAAAUAAUAGUCAAAUACCAUUACAUUUAUUACCAUUAAAAUAGUCACUAACAUACCAUUCAUACAUUCAAAUAUCAUUACAAUACCAUGACAAAAGCUACGAACUAGUCAUUAACAUAACAUUAAUUUAGUGUUCUAAAACAAAAAGUAAGAGCUACUUGGUGGAUUAAUGGAUGGAUUGAUUUGUUUUAUAAAGGCCGCCAAUUGUCGUUGCACUUGCAAUUCCAUAUCAUUUCGCAUUUGUUGCAUUUGCAAAUUCAUUUCACUUUGCUUUUCAUCCAUGGUUUGUUGCAUGUUUGACACUUGUUGUCGCAACUCAUGUACCUAAAUAUAGCAAGACAAACACAUGCACUUAGUAAAUGUAAUUCAACUUUAAACCAUGAUAGCAAUGUACUUUACUUUUAAUUCAAUAUAAAAACACACUGAUCAUAAUAACAAUGUACAUUGUUUUUAAUAUCCAUAAUAAUAACUUUUAAUAUGCAUAAUAAUAACAUACUAUAUUUUUAUCCAUUAUACCAUUGUACUUUACAUUUCCAAUCCAGAAUAUCAAUGUAGUUAAAUUAUUAUCAAUAACAAGAAUUUACUUUACCAAAUAUCAAUAAUAACAACAUAGUAUCAUUUUCAACCAUAAUAACAAUGCAUUUUACCUAAUAUUAAUAAUGACAACAUAUUAUAACCACCACGACUUAAUUAUAUAUUUCUUUAAUUUUUUGUUCUUAUAUUUCUUCAUUUAUUUAUAUAUGUAAGAACAGAUUGAGAUCAAGGAAUUGGUUUGAGUAAUAAGGAUGUUAAAAAAAUCAGCAUUUAUGUCUGGAGAUGGACAGAUGUAUGUGAAAAAAAUUGUUUUUUACAAUUUCUUUCUAAAGACAAAAGACAUAAAAUUGUAAAAAAAAUGUAAACUUUUUUUUUUUACAAUUCUUGCAUUAUAGGCUUGCUAAGUUUUAAAUUGGUUUAAGGCCUACAAAAGACUAUCUUUCUUUUUUUUACAAAACUUAAAAAUUUCUACUUGUGUAUUUUGUUUGACCUGCUCAUAAUCGUCUAGCAAAGCAAUCUGUUUGAUAUUCUUUAAAAGCAUACUUCAACACUUUAAAUUUACAAUAUAAAGUAUAUACUAAUACACAUCUAUUAGAAAGGGCUAGAGCAUCAAGGGUAAAGUCGUCCAAAUAGGGAAAAUUUCAAAGUUAAUUUACAAGAGCGACACAUUUUCAAAGCCAAACAACCAAAACUAAGGCAAACAUUACCAAAUCCAGAAAAAGAAACACAUGUUCAAAGCAAAACAUCAAGGGUAAAAUCGUCCAAAUAGGCAAAAUUUCAACGAUUGCAUUUGGGUAAAAUUCCAAAUCCAGAAAAAGUAACACCGGAUGGGAAAGAAUGACAUCUAGAUAAGCUAAGUAGCAAAUUGAGAAGAUGAAAAUUCCAUCCCAAAUAGGUGAAUACUUCCAUUACAGAUAUUGAUGAGUUCUAAAUCACGAAGAAGAGAAAUAUGGACAGGGUUACAGAAUUCAGAAGAGGAAAGAGUAUCUAAUUUGGAGCUUAACUUGAGCUCUGCAAAUGGACAAGUUACAGGUAUUGCUGUAGACUGAUGAUUCAAGUUCUCUGGGUCUAAAUUUGUGAAAUCUACUACAAUGGACAAGUUACAAGUAUGGAAAGCAUAGCUGAAAAAGACAAUUGAAAUCACAGAAACUGAAAUUGAUUCUCCAGGGGCAAAAUUUGUGAAAUGUGAGCAAAUUGAAAAAUCGGAGUCUUGUAAAAGUGUGAGCAAACUAAAAUCGAAAUACAUACCUGCAGGUCUCGACGAUGGGAGUGUGGGGCAGCGACGGUGGUGGUUUGGGACAGUGCCGGUGAUGGAGUGCGACAGCAACGGCUGUAGGGCAAACCUGCAACUAUUUUGUCAAUGUGGGUCGCCGAUCGGUUGCCUGGAAAUCGCAAAAGUGAAAUUGGUUACCUGAAAUUGUCGACGAUGUAGGUAUUGGUCGGGAAUCGUCACCGGGAGUGUUACAGCAAGGUCGGAAAUCAUCGGUGUUAGGCGUAGGGUUUUGUUUGAGUAAGUAAUGGAUGACUCCACGAUUAACGAUUAGAGUGGCGGGAAAUUGUAUUUUGGGAAGCGUAGCAAAUGCGUAGGUAAAAGGAUGCGUAGGAAUUCUGUAGGCAUCUCUAAU